GACGAACGCUGGCGGCGUGCCUUACACAUGCAAGUCGAACGGCAGCACGGGAGCAAUCCUGGUGGCGAGUGGCGAACGGGUGAGUAAUAUAUCGGAACGUGCCCAGUCGUGGGGGAUAACGCAGCGAAAGCUGUGCUAAUACCGCAUACGAUCUAUGGAUGAAAGCGGGGGAUCGCAAGACCUCGCGCGAUUGGAGCGGCCGAUAUCAGAUUAGCUAGUUGGUGAGGUAAAGGCUCACCAGGGCGACGAUCUGUGCUGGUCUGAGAGGACGACCAGCCACACUGGAACUGAGACACGGUCCAGACUCCUACGGGAGGCAGCAGUGGGGAAUUUUGGACAAUGGGCGCAAGCCUGAUCCAGCAAUGCCGCGUGCAGGAUGAAGGCCUUCGGGUUGUAAACUGCUUUUGUACGGAGCGAAACGGCCUACCCUAAUACGGUGGGCUAAUGACGGUACCGUAAGAAUAAGCACCGGCUAACUACGUGCCAGCCGCCGCAGUAA
Molecule: ribosomal RNA, 499 nt
Filed under: uncultured bacterium
Lineage: Bacteria
Description: partial 16S ribosomal RNA
Rfam family: Bacterial small subunit ribosomal RNA
Source: RNAcentral